UGGGGGGGCUAGGAUGAAAAUUUUUGUCCUGCAUUUUUUUUUAGUUGUAAUCUCUGUCCUGCCUUUUUAUUUUUCACUCUAUUCGGUCCUGCUUUUUUUUUUUUUAGUUUAUCCUGACUUUUUUGACAUAAAUUGUCAUCCUGACUUUUUUUUUUGCAAGUGUCUCAUCCUGCCUUUUUUUUUACUCAAAACUCCUGUCCUGCCUAUUUUUUUAAUU
RNAcentral lists this long non-coding RNA (217 nucleotides) under Mytilus galloprovincialis (Mediterranean mussel). The record is from RNAcentral. Lineage: Eukaryota; Metazoa; Mollusca; Bivalvia; Mytilida; Mytilidae.